ACGACAAUGGAGAGCUUUUUUAAUGGUACAAUGCAUUUCACCUACCAGAUAGGGGGAGUCUAAGCUGAAAGAUGCGAAUGUCUUGUGAUGUUGGGUGAUCAGUAUCAAUGAACAGGGUGAUUCUGAAAAGAGACAGAUUAAAAUAAAGCACUCUUUGCCUGGGAUACGUUGGGAACAGUUAGAAAGGCUAACCGGAGUGGGCAACGGUAAGACUUCGGAGCUGUGCUUUUCCCCCUCAGCCCAAGAAAAUGAUCAAGUCAAUCAUGUGGACAUGCUUCAUUAUUCAUUGAACACAAUCUUUUACAACGCUCCGUUUACGUGCUGGAGUUUCUCCCUACGCUUUGCUCUAAAUGUUGAAGUGAAAAUCGCGGCGAUCUGCAUGAUUUAAAACGGUUCAAACAUAUUCCAAAGUAAGUGACCUGCAUAAGUACAUCAAUAGGUUAAGUGCAA
RNAcentral lists this long non-coding RNA (450 nucleotides) under Ornithorhynchus anatinus (platypus). RNAcentral describes it as "lncRNA (ENSOANG00000043383.1)". Lineage: Eukaryota; Metazoa; Chordata; Mammalia; Monotremata; Ornithorhynchidae. The record is from RNAcentral.